GGCGCUCUCGGGUGCAGCGGCUCUCCGGCGAGGUUCGUGUUUUGGUGAUUCGGCUCCGGUCAACCUGUAGAGAAAAGAAUGGUGAUCACGGUGAUAUAAAAAUUGCAUCGAACGGAGGCCGGGAAGGGCCUCGUCGGAGGCAAAAACCGAGAGGGGGCGCGGCGGCGCCGCUGGGCUUCGGCCGCGUAUUCCGGCCGUUUGGCCGGGAUUUCGGUUUCGAUUUGGCCAUAGGAGGAAUCAGUGGGGAAAAACGAGUCGGGGGUAUGAAAUUUACCUCGAUCGGCGGUCGGAAAUUUCCCCGGUGCGGCGGCGAGCGGCGGCGGGUGGCGGCGGUCGGCCUCUGGUUCGUCUUCUCCGGCGAGCGGCUGGCGGCUAGGGUUUGUGGUCUGGUGUGGGGGUUCUAUUUAUAACCCCUUGCCUUGUGAUCACAGCCGUUCA
RNAcentral lists this long non-coding RNA (438 nucleotides) under Carica papaya (papaya). RNAcentral describes it as "long non-coding RNA (CPAP_LNC009103)". The record is from RNAcentral. Lineage: Eukaryota; Viridiplantae; Streptophyta; Magnoliopsida; Brassicales; Caricaceae.